This 160-nucleotide ribosomal RNA is filed under the name uncultured Gammaproteobacteria bacterium. RNAcentral's name for it is "partial 16S ribosomal RNA". It matches the Rfam family "Bacterial small subunit ribosomal RNA", at positions 335 to 487 of the family's 1533-position model. The record is from RNAcentral. Lineage: Bacteria; Pseudomonadati; Pseudomonadota; Gammaproteobacteria.
ACUCCUACGGGAGGCAGCAGUGGGGAAUAUUGCACAAUGGGGGAAACCCUGAUGCAGCCAUGCCGCGUGUGUGAAGAAGGCCUUCGGGUUGUAAAGCACUUUCAGUAGGGAGGAAAGGUUGUAAGUUAAUACCUUGCAGCUGUGACGUUACCUACAGAAG